AGUUUGGGGGUUCUAGGCUUCUAGGGAAUGGGCUGAUGGGGCAGCAGGGUGGGUGGGUCUGUGACUGGUCUGCUUCUCCGCUGCUUCUGAUUC
RNAcentral lists this microRNA precursor (93 nucleotides) under Vicugna pacos (alpaca). RNAcentral describes it as "miRNA (ENSVPAG00000017995.1)". The record is from RNAcentral. Lineage: Eukaryota; Metazoa; Chordata; Mammalia; Artiodactyla; Camelidae.